GUGGGGAAUAUUGGACAAUGGGGGGAACCCUGAUCCAGCCAUGCCGCGUGUGUGAAGAAGGCCUUUUGGUUGUAAAGCACUUUAAGCGAGGAGGAGGCUACCGAGAUUAAUACUCUUGGAUAGUGGACGUUACUCGCAGAAUAAGCACCGGCUAACUCUGUGCCAGCAGCCGCGGUAAUACAGAGGGUGCAAGCGUUAAUCGGAUUUACUGGGCGUAAAGCGCGCGUAGGUGGUUAAUUAAGUCAAAUGUGAAAUCCCCGAGCUUAACUUGGGAAUUGCAUUCGAUACUGGUUAGCUAGAGUAUGGGAGAGGAUGGUAGAAUUCCAGGUGUAGCGGUGAAAUGCGUAGAGAUCUGGAGGAAUACCGAUGGCGAAGGCAGCCAUCUGGCCUAAUACUGACACUGAGGUGCGAAAGCAUGGGGAGCAAACAGGAUUAGAAACCCUAGUAGUCC
This 451-nucleotide ribosomal RNA is filed under the name uncultured bacterium. RNAcentral's name for it is "partial 16S ribosomal RNA". It matches the Rfam family "Bacterial small subunit ribosomal RNA", at positions 354 to 796 of the family's 1533-position model. The record is from RNAcentral.